RNAcentral lists this ribosomal RNA (497 nucleotides) under uncultured bacterium. Its description in RNAcentral is "partial 16S ribosomal RNA". It matches the Rfam family "Bacterial small subunit ribosomal RNA", at positions 28 to 507 of the family's 1533-position model. The record is from RNAcentral.
GAUGAACGCUGGCGGCGUGCCUAACACAUGCAAGUCGAGCGAACGGACGAGGAGCUUGCUUGUUUGUUGUUUGCGGCGGACGGGUGUAUAACACGUGGAUAACCUCCCUAUAAGACUGGGAUAACUUCGGGAAACCGGAGCUAAUACCGGAGAAUAUCUUGAACCGCAUGGUUCAAAAGUGAAAGACGGUCUUGCUGUAACGUAUCGCUGCAUACCAGCUGCUUUAUCUAGUUGUUAAGGUCAAGGCUUACCAAGGCAACGAUGCAUACACGACCUGAAUGGGUGAUCGGCCGCCUUGGAAGUUAGACACGGUCAAGACUCCUACGGGAGGCAGCAGUAGGGAAUCUUCCGCAGUGGGCGAAAACCUGACGGAGCAACGCCGCGUAAGAUAUGGAGGCCUUCGGAUCGUAAAACUCUGUUAUUAGGGAAGAACAUAUGUGUAAUUAAAUGUGCACAUCUUGACGGUACCUAAUCAGAAAGCCACGGCUAACUACGUG